Molecule: small nucleolar RNA, 237 nt
Filed under: Capronia americana
Lineage: Eukaryota; Fungi; Ascomycota; Eurotiomycetes; Chaetothyriales; Herpotrichiellaceae
Description: Capronia semiimmersa Small nucleolar RNA snR191
Rfam family: Small nucleolar RNA snR191
Source: Rfam by way of RNAcentral
AUCCAUCGCUAAGUCAAGGCUCCUUUCGCGCGCCCUCAUGCGCACCUUUCUCCGUGAAAAUAGCCUGUUACAGCUUUGGUACAUCAAGCCGCGCUCGCCCUCCCUCUUGGGGGAGGGUUCCCGACACUUGCAUCCGUCUUGGAAGCUUUCGUCACAGAGUGCAACGCGUGUUUCGUUUGAGUUGAGGUCUGCUCUUUCACAUCCAUAGCAUUUCUCUUAGUAAUGUUCCAUACACUU